GACGAACGCUGGCGGCGUGCUUAACACAUGCAAGUCGAACGGAAAGGCCCUGCUUUUGUGGGGUGCUCGAGUGGCGAACGGGUGAGUAACACGUGAGUAACCUGCCCUUGACUUUGGGAUAACGUCAGGAAACUGGGGCUAAUACCGGAUAGGAGCUCCUGCGGCAUGGUGGGGGUUGGAAAGUUUCGGCGGUUGGGGAUGGACUCGCGGCUUAUCAGCUUGUUGGUGGGGUAGUGGCUUACCAAGGCUUUGACGGGUAGCCGGCCUGAGAGGGUGACCGGCCACAUGGGGACUGAGAUACGGCCCAGACUCCUACGGGAGGCAGCAGUGGGGAAUAUUGCACAAUGGGCGGAAGCCUGAUGCAGCAACGCCGCGUGCGGGAUGACGGCCUUCGGGUUGUAAACCGCUUUCGCCUGUGACGAAGCGUGAGUGACGGUAAUGGGUAAAGAAGCACCGGCUAACUACGU
Molecule: ribosomal RNA, 467 nt
Filed under: uncultured bacterium
Lineage: Bacteria
Description: partial 16S ribosomal RNA
Rfam family: Bacterial small subunit ribosomal RNA
Source: RNAcentral